GAGACUGGUACCCAGAGAGACAACUACCCUGCAUGUCCAGGAGGAGGAUCUAAAAUCACACCCCAACCCAACUGCACUAGAUGGCAAUAUCACCAAGCUCAAAACUGAGAAGGGGGCUAGUCAAAGUAAAAAAAAGCAGAAAGCAAUGCUGCCCAAAACAGGAAGGUCACAGAUUAUUAUCCUAUUAGACAAGAGUUCCAGAAAAAGCAAAGCUGAAUUGAAGGCCAAACAUAUAGAGGGGAAGGGAAGAGGAGUAUUUGCUGUCAGAUAUUUCAAGAAGGGAAAGUUUGUAAUUGAGUAUCAUGGAGACUUGAUGCAUCUGGCUGAUGCCAAGGAGAGAGGCGCUCUGUAUGCCCAAGACCCUGGGACUGGCUGCUACAUGUACUAUUUCAGCAAAACAUACUGUUAAGAUUUUUAAAGGUGUGGAUGCUACAUAAGAAUCAACUCGCCUGGGAAGGCUGCUAAACCACAGUAAAACUGGCAACUGCCAGACCAAACUCCAUGACAUAGAUGGAAUAACACAUCUCAUACUGGUGGCUUCCAGGGAGACUGAGUCAGAGGAAGAGCUGCUUUAUGACUAUGGUGACCGCAGCAAGGAAUCCAUCUCGGCUUACACUUUGCUCAAAUACUGAUGUGCUGUUUUUACACCAACAGAGUAUUCAAGAGAAUUACGAAGUGCAUUUGAUUAAAGCUUUUUUUUCUUAUUCUUGGCCCUGAAUAUUCCCUUGGCACUAAACUGCCAACUUGGCAUUCCAGGUCAGACAAAUUAAGUGGCCGUUUUGUUUAUUUUUAAUCUGCCCUUUCAAGCAAUGUAUUUGGGCAAAACUGUGGCAGUAUGAACAAUAUUGAAGACAACCUUCAAGAUGACACAUGGAUCAAUUUGUUAAAACUGUAUAUCAAUAUAUUGCUGGAUUUGGGGGUAGUUUUUAUACAUAUUUAGGCCUGUGCUUCCAAGAAGAUAUGAAUAAUAUUUGUAACAUUAGCUAUUUUUUUUAUGCCGUUUUUAUAUUUGUUCUAAUUUAUAAUGCUAGGUAUGGUUCUAGUUGAAGCAACAAUUUUCAUAUGAUCGUCAAUGCUCUCCAGGCUUCUGGGACACCAGCUUAUUCUUGAUUUUAAAUGUAGAUAUUUUGCAAUGGGUGAAAUCCUAAUACAUUAACAAUUUACAAAGUAAGUUGCUCUUUGAGAGUAAAUUAAAUGUACAUAGACAAAUCUGUUCAGAUAUCUGGCUAGCAUGGAAGCUCCUUUUGCAAUGAAUAGAAAAGCUAGCUUGGCCUUUUGACAAUGUACCACUUAAUAUUCACAGACAUGUAACAGUCCAACAUCCUCCCUGUAGGUCAGUGUAUUACAAAAUGUGUAACAAAUGAAGUGAUUUGUAACUUUAUCAUUCUAAACAGCUUUCUUUUACAGCUGCUCUAUUAUUUGAAAGGUAAAAUGGACUUUAAAAGCCCUUGUGUGAACUAGUGUAAAAUAGUUAUGCUCAGUCACUCCGAGCCUACAAUGUACAUUUUUAUGCAAUUUCUGGACAAGGAACAAUUUUGGUAACACUUUUAUAUUUGCUACAAGAGCUUAUAUAUUUAUCUAAUCGACAAAUCAUUUUGGGAAGGAUUCAUUACCAUGAUCUGUGCUACUCAACCCCAAGGUAGAGGCAGAUUAUGCUGAUGGGAUUCAGGUGUAUGAGUUAGGUAUAGUGAAUCUGGGGCAGUAUAGUGGUCAUGGGCUCGAUUCCAUCAGUAUCGCUGAAGUUCAGAAUUAAAAAGCCAUUUCAAAUUGAACUGACAUGCAGCGUUUGCCUUAAUGUUGAUUGCAUCUCUUUAGCACUGUAGAUAGAAUCAAGCCCUUGGAGGUCCUGUCUUUGUCUCUACUAGGGCUACUGUUGCAACCAGUCUUGAAUGUUGGUCUUUGAACAGUUCCAUCGUCACAAUGUUCAACCACGUGUCCAAAGGAACUGUUACAGUUCCUUUGUUUGAGGACACAGGUGUGAGUCUGUACCAAUGAUGUAUAUAAACCCUGGAUCGCUAAUGCUAUAUUUUGACCAUUGAGAGGUUUUGAAGACAUCAGCAUUUCAAUUAAAAUGUUAAGGAAAAACAUUUAAGUCAUCUCAAUAGUUUAUUUUUGUUUUGCUCAUAAUUUAAAAGUUUACAUUGGUGUUUAAUAGAAUAAAUGUGGCAAACUAACCUGGACAAACGCAUUUCUAUAGAGUACCACAGUAUGAGUCAUAAUACCCAUUAAGCCUAAUGGUCAAACCAGGAAAUGGUUCCAAUUGAUUUUCCACCAUUCAUUUUUCUCAUGGGGGAUUUUAGAAGAGCUGUGUGUCAUGAAGGCUUACCCUGGCGUGACAUUUUGAUAACCAUGUGAAUCUCUCAUUAGACAAGAUGAUUUAUCAAAAUAUUUACCCCCAACAAAUGAAACGCUAAUUAGUUGCUAAUCAGUAAGAACUACAAAUGCCAUGAGAUGGAUGAGUGACAAAUUAUAGUAAAAAUCUCUGGAUUAACCAUUAGCUAAAUGUAAUAAUAAAUAAAAUUGGUAAUUCUGUGAAUGGUCUGGAGUUAAAAAUGUACACUACCUGUUAGCAAAGGCGUUAACUAGAGUUGACGUGCAGGGAUUUGUAGUCUUGCAUGAUGUCUACUUUGAUGCUAAUUAGCAUUUGAGUCAGUAAAUAGCACAAAAUAUAUUUCAGUCACCUUGCCUGAAAGCAAUUUAGAUGGUUAACAAAAAUGUCACGCCAGGGUAAGCCUUCAUGACACACCCUUCAACUGUUUCUAUAAUCCCCUAUGAGAAAAAUGAAUGGUGGAAAAACAAUUGGAACCAUUUCCCCGUUUGACCGCUAGACUUUAUGGGUAUUAUGACACCACUGUGGGGCAAUUAAUUUUUUGUUUUUACAAUUGUGUAGGAUUGCCAAAAUGGGCACGCGGUGGCUUCUACACCCCCCGGAAAGAUGAAUGGAGCUAAGUACAGAGAUCCUUGAUAAAACCCUGCUCCAGAACACUCAGGGCCUCAGACUGGGGUGAAGGUUCACCUUCCAACAGGACAAUGACCCUAAGCACACAGCCAAGACAACACAGAAGUGGCUUAGGGAUGUGUCUCUGAAUAUCUUUGAGUGGCCCAGCCAGAGCCCAGACUUGAACAUCUCUGAAGAGACCUCAAAAUAGCUGUGCAGCAACACUCCCCAUCCAACCUAACAGCUUGAGAGGAUCUGCAGAGAAGAAUGGGAGAAACUCCCCAAAUACAGGUGUGCCAAGCUUGUAGCAUCAUACCCAGGGAGACUCGAGGCUGCAAUCCCUGCCAAAGGUGCUUCAACAAAGUACU
Molecule: non-coding RNA, 3306 nt
Organism: Oncorhynchus mykiss (rainbow trout)
Lineage: Eukaryota; Metazoa; Chordata; Actinopteri; Salmoniformes; Salmonidae
Source: RefSeq, a predicted model, not a curated record